GCGAUCAUACCAGCACUAAUGCACCGGAUCCCAUCAGAACUUCGAAGUUAAGCGUGCUUGGGCGAGAGCAGUACUAGGAUGGGUGACCCCCUGGGAAGUCCUCGUGUUGCACCU
This 114-nucleotide ribosomal RNA is filed under the name Zingiber officinale. The record is from RNAcentral. Lineage: Eukaryota; Viridiplantae; Streptophyta; Magnoliopsida; Zingiberales; Zingiberaceae.